AGUGAACGCUGGCGGUAGGCCUAACACAUGCAAGUCGAACGGCGGCACAGUAAGAGCUUGCUCUUACGGGUGGCGAGUGGCGGACGGGUGAGGAAUACAUCGGAAUCUACUUUUUCGUGGGGGAUAACGUAGGGAAACUUACGCUAAUACCGCAUACGACCUACGGGUGAAAGCAGGGGAUCUUCGGACCUUGCGCGAUUGAAUGAGCCGAUGUCGGAUUAGCUAGUUGGCGGGGUAAAGGCCCACCAAGGCGACGAUCCGUAGCUGGUCUGAGAGGAUGAUCAGCAACACUGGAACUGAGACACGGUCCAGACUCCUACGGGAGGCAGCAGUGGGGAAUAUUGGACAAUGGGCGCAAGCCUGAUCCAGCCAUACCGCGUGGGUGAAGAAGGCCUUCGGGUUGUAAAGCCCUUUUGUUGGGAAAGAAAAGCAGCAGGUUAAUACCCCGCUGUUCUGACGGUACCCAAAGAAUAAGCACCGGCUAACUUCGUG
Molecule: ribosomal RNA, 492 nt
Filed under: uncultured bacterium
Lineage: Bacteria
Description: partial 16S ribosomal RNA
Rfam family: Bacterial small subunit ribosomal RNA
Source: RNAcentral